Molecule: ribosomal RNA, 460 nt
Filed under: uncultured bacterium
Lineage: Bacteria
Description: partial 16S ribosomal RNA
Rfam family: Bacterial small subunit ribosomal RNA
Source: RNAcentral
CCUACGGGUGGCAGCAGUGAGGAAUAUUGGUCAAUGGACGAGAGUCUGAACCAGCCAAGUCGCGUGAAGGAUGACUGCCCUAUGGGUUGUAAACUUCUUUUAUAUGGGAAUAAAAUGUUCCACGUGUGGGAUUUUGUAUGUACCAUAUGAAUAAGGAUCGGCUAACUCCGUGCCAGCAGCCGCGGUAAUACGGAGGAUCCGAGCGUUAUCCGGAUUUAUUGGGUUUAAAGGGGGCGUAGGUGGAUUGUUAAGUCAGUUGUGAAAGUUUGCGGCUCAACCGUGAAAUUGCAGUUGAAACUGGCAGUCUUGAGUACAGUAGAGGUGGGCGGAAUUCGUGGUGUAGCGGUGAAAUGCUUAGAUAUCACGAAGAACUCCGAUUGCGAAGGCAGUUCACUGGACUGCAACUGACACUGAGGCUCGAAAGUGUGGGUAUCAAACAGGAUUAGAUACCCGAGUAGUC